AUUUACUUAAUUUAUUAUUUUGUAUAUCGUUGUUAUAAAAAUAUUUUUUAAUAAUAAUUAAUAUUUAAAAAUUAACAUAUAAAUUUAAAUCAGAUCAAGAUGCAGAUUAUAAUUAAGAAUAUAAUGGAUUACAAUAAAUUUAUUUAAAUGAAUAUUAAUUUGUAAUAAUUAAUUAAAAGUGGAUUUAAAUGUAAUUUUAUUUAAUUUAAUAAAAUGAUUAAAAAUUAAGAUAUGU
Molecule: ribosomal RNA, 235 nt
Filed under: Manga melanodonta
Lineage: Eukaryota; Metazoa; Arthropoda; Insecta; Lepidoptera; Noctuidae
Description: partial 12S small subunit ribosomal RNA
Source: RNAcentral